GACGAACGCUGGCGGCGUGCUUAACACAUGCAAGUCGUACGGUAAGGCCCUUUCGGGGGUACACGAGUGGCGAACGGGUGAGUAACACGUGAGUAACCUGCCCACAACUUUGGGAUAACGCUAGGAAACUGGUGCUAAUACUGGAUAUGUGCUCCUGCUGCAUGGGGGGGGUUGGAAAGCUCCGGCGGUUGUGGAUGGACUCGCGGCCUAUCAGCUUGUUGGUGGGGUAGUGGCCUACUAAGGCGGCGACGGGUAGCCGGCCUGAGAGGGUGACCGGCCACAUUGGGACUGAGCUACGGCCCAGACUCCUACGGGAGGCAGCAGUGGGGAAUAUUGCACAAGGGGCGCAAGCCUGAUGCAGCAACGCCGCGUGCGGGAUGACGGCCUUCGGGUUGUAAACCGCUUUCAGCAGGGACGAAGCUUUUUGUGACGGUACCUGCAGAAGAAGCACCGGCUAACUACGUG
RNAcentral lists this ribosomal RNA (465 nucleotides) under uncultured bacterium. Its description in RNAcentral is "partial 16S ribosomal RNA". It matches the Rfam family "Bacterial small subunit ribosomal RNA", at positions 28 to 507 of the family's 1533-position model. The record is from RNAcentral.